Molecule: long non-coding RNA, 518 nt
Organism: Tachysurus vachellii
Lineage: Eukaryota; Metazoa; Chordata; Actinopteri; Siluriformes; Bagridae
Exons: 3
Source: RefSeq, a predicted model, not a curated record
UACAGUAUCACCCUGUUUUAACUGCAACAAAGAGUUGUCCACAAUGGGGCCUCACCUCUCAAAGCCGCUGUAUAUCAACACUGCAAGUGUGCCGCACGACCAGAGCCCUCUCUGUGUGUUUACACACACAGACAGUCGACUGUAGCAGAGUGGCAGGUGAUGCGUUGGUGAAGGAAGAUUUGGAUGUCACCUGUAUACGAAAGGAAGUCGGUGAUGGCGGGAUGAGGAAACUAUGGUAGAGAUAAGAGGAUUCCUUUGGCCAUCUAUUUCCAUAUUAGUUGUGAGAGGCAGGCCUGGCCGAGCUGGAUGGAUGACACUAUCAGGGAUUGAAGCUAAUGGAGGAGCUGUAUGAGUGAUCUCUACCAGGGAAAGCCUAUUAGACCUGACAGGGGGAUGAUGAUAUUAGACCAUCAUCAUUCAGAAGACACCACCCCCACACCUUCAUCCAUCUUUCCCUCUCUCUAUCUCUAUCUCUAUACCUCCUUCACUUUUCUCAGUCUGUCCCUUUUUCUUCGCUU